UACAGAGACUGCAAGCGUUUAUUCGGAUUCACUGGGCGUAAAGGGUGCGCAGGCGGUUGGGUGUGUCAGAUGUGAAAUCCCCGAGGCUUAACCUCGGAACUGCGUCUGAAACUACUCGACUAGAGUACUGGAGAGGGAAAGGAAUUCACGGUGUAGCAGUGAAAAUGCGUAGAUAUCGUGAGGAACACCAGAGGCGAAGGCGGUUUCCUGGACAGUUACUGA
This 222-nucleotide ribosomal RNA is filed under the name uncultured bacterium. RNAcentral's name for it is "partial 16S ribosomal RNA". It matches the Rfam family "Bacterial small subunit ribosomal RNA", at positions 524 to 743 of the family's 1533-position model. The record is from RNAcentral.